Cyprinus carpio (common carp) is the source of this 1506-nucleotide long non-coding RNA. The record is from Ensembl. Lineage: Eukaryota; Metazoa; Chordata; Actinopteri; Cypriniformes; Cyprinidae.
AUUCUUCAGUGCUAAUGGCCUGCUGCACCCCAGAGUCCUGUCAGACAACAUCUACAAAGAACACUGAACCAUAUGGCUAAUAACCUAACCUCAAAUAUACACUAUUGUUCAAAAUUCAGUAAGAUAUUUUAUGUUUUAACACAAUUCACACAUAACACAUCUCAUUACCGUGCACUACAGUUAUAUGUGAUGAAAUAAAUCAUCUUUUAUGUGAAAUAAUACGAACAGCAGCUAUGCUAAUCUUUCUCCUUUUGGUUUCCUGUUUCUAUCCCGGGAUGCCCAUCUCAAAGUUACUAGAGAUUACGCCAGUUCCAGUUUGGAUCCAGCCUUCAGAAAACACCAACACUCACAAUGACUUCAGAUGAUGACAACUAUAGAUGAACAUACAAGUCUGCCAAAUAUUAUCCUUAUAUUGUGAUCAUUGCCCUAAAAGGUAAGUUCACAGAUUGUCAACCAGCUUUCUAUUGUUACAGUGUUAUAUGUAAAUGAACAAUGAUUACCUGUUCUCUGAAUUACAUGUACCAAAAUAUCACCAUUUAUUUGGAGGCAAAACUCUGCCAGAUGAUGCAAAAGGUUGACUGCAUGUCUCACUUGUGUGUCCUCUUUAGCUGUGUUUUCUGCCUUUGUAUUCUCACUGUUCAUUUACACUCAAACUAUUAUACAACUAUUCUACUACUAUUAAAUUAUUAAUCAGUUUGGGCAUCUUUUUACCAUGUUUACAUAAAAAAAAGUAAAAAGUAUAAUAGUGACUUUAUUAAAUGACCCACUAUGAAAAUACAGUUUUACUGUGUUAUCGAUGUCUUUUUCUCUACUUUAGGGAGAACUUCUCAACAAAUUUAUUUUUAUUGCAGGUUUUCUGGUUUCCCAGUUGAAGACAUCAGAACAUCAAAUGUCUGGACAGCUGUACCUACAGUACACCACACUGACCUCUCUGCUUUUGCACGGAUAUCUUACUACUACCAUGUUCUGUGAAGGGAAGCGAUGUGUCUGCAGCGGGAACUGGCAGUCGCGUUCUAGUGCGAGGCGUGUCAACGGCGAGCAGUUCAGCGGAGAUCAGCGAAGCGAUGUGACGUCGUCACUGCAGGAGAAGAAACUGAAUUCCUGUGGCGAAGCGGCCAAUAUAUAGCCAGAUCCCCCACCCAAUUUGGCGGGCUUCGCUGCCAUAGGUUCGUGCAGCACCCCAGCCGAGCCAUUGGUUUGUUUUAAUAACACUGCCCGAACCAAUGGCCGUGCAGUUUCACUGCGUGAUUGAAUAAGGCUUCAGUUCAGGAGAAAAAAGGAGUUUUUCCCAUAGCAUCUUCGACGCAGUAUGAGUGAAGUAUUGAAAGGGAACUGUUUUUAACAUUGAUAAUUAUCAGAAAUAUUUCUUGAGCAUGAAAUUAAAUUGUAAUGGAUUCUAAAGGACCACGUGACACUGAAAACUGGCAUAAUGAUGCAGAAACUUCUGCUUUGCAUCACAGGAAUAACAUUACAUUUUAUAAUAUAAUAAAAUAGAAAACUUCAACA